RNAcentral lists this ribosomal RNA (495 nucleotides) under uncultured bacterium. RNAcentral's name for it is "partial 16S ribosomal RNA". It matches the Rfam family "Bacterial small subunit ribosomal RNA", at positions 28 to 507 of the family's 1533-position model. The record is from RNAcentral.
GAUGAACGCUGGCGGCGUGCCUAAUACAUGCCAGUCGAGCGAACGGACGAGAAGCUUGCUUCUCUGAUGUUAGCGGCGGACGGGUGAGUAACAUGGAUAACCUACCUAUAAGACUGGGAUAACUUCGGGAAACCGGAGCUAAUACCGGAUAAUAUUUUGAACCGCAUGGUUCAAAAGUGAAAGACGGUCUUGCUGUCACUUAUAGAUGGAUCCGCGCUGCAUUAGCUAGUUGGUAAGGUAACGGCUUACCAAGGCAACGAUGCAUAGCCGACCUGAGAGGGUGAUCGGCCACACUGGAACUGAGACACGGUCCAGACUCCUACGGGAGGCAGCAGUAGGGAAUCUUCCGCAAUGGGCGAAAGCCUGACGGAGCAACGCCGCGUGAGUGAUGAAGGUCUUCGGAUCGUAAAACUCUGUUAUUAGGGAAGAACAUAUGUGUAAGUAACUGUGCACAUCUUGACGGUACCUAAUCAGAAAGCCACGGCUAACUACGUG